AGUGAACGCUGGCGGUAGGCCUAAUACAUGCAAGUCGAACGGCAGCACAGUAAGAGCUUGCUCUUACGGGUGGCGAGUGGCGGACGGGUGAGGAAUACAUCAGAAUCUACUUUUUCGUGGGUGAUAACGUAGGGCAACAUACGCUAAUACCGCAUACGUCCUACGGGUGAAAGCAGGGGAUCUUCGGACCUUUCCCGAUUCAAUGAGCCGAUGUCGGAUUAGCUAGUUGGCGGGGUAAAGGCCCACCAAGGCGACGAUCCGUAGCUGGUCUGAGAGGAUGAUCAGCCACACUGGAACUGAGACACGGUCCAGACUCCUACGGGAGGCAGCAGUGGGGAAUCUUCGACAAUGGGCGCAAGCCUGAUCCAGCCAUACCGCGUGGGUGAAGAAGACCUUCGGGUUGUAAAGCUCUUUUGUUGGGAAAGAAAAGAAGCAGGUUAAUCCCCCGCUGUUCUGACGGUACCCAAAGAAUAAGCACCGGCUAACUUCGUG
RNAcentral lists this ribosomal RNA (492 nucleotides) under uncultured bacterium. RNAcentral's name for it is "partial 16S ribosomal RNA". It matches the Rfam family "Bacterial small subunit ribosomal RNA", at positions 29 to 507 of the family's 1533-position model. The record is from RNAcentral.